Trichodelitschia bisporula is the source of this 71-nucleotide non-coding RNA. The record is from the annotation of a GenBank genome assembly. Lineage: Eukaryota; Fungi; Ascomycota; Dothideomycetes; Phaeotrichales; Phaeotrichaceae.
GUUGUUGUGGCGUAGCGGAAGCGUAGCGGGUUCAUAACCCGGGGGACGGUGGAUCAAAACCACCUUCAGCC